Anopheles coluzzii is the source of this 2861-nucleotide long non-coding RNA. RefSeq lists it as uncharacterized. The transcript has 5 exons. Lineage: Eukaryota; Metazoa; Arthropoda; Insecta; Diptera; Culicidae. The record is from RefSeq and is a predicted model, not a curated record.
GGGUAGGAGGCGAUGCCUCGUCCUCCUACCCAACUCCUAUUCCGGCACGUCCACGUCGUGCAGAGCGGUAACAUGCGUUACUAGGGGUGCAAGAGCUCUUUUUGAGGAGGAGCUCUUUUUGCUGCACUAGUUGCAUCAGAUGGUAACGCAUGGCUAAGCCGGAAAGGGGGAGACAGGCCAACAAAUUAGUGCUGGAAAUUUGUUGGUUCUGGCUUCUGUAAAUAGUGUAAAGUCCACAGCUCCUGCUGUACGAAGUAGUGAGGCUCAGCAUCCCGGCCUUACCUUCAACGGCAAACGAAAAAACAGCGGAGCAGAUCAAUAAUAAUUAUUUUCAAACUGUUCCCAGUGUUCUGGAGCGUACAAUUUUAAUCAUUGGAGAAGUUCAACAAAACACCAGCCCCAAUGGCCAGCAAUUUGUUGGGGUUUGUGGAACAAAAUCUUCACCAGUGAAGCGAUCGAUGUUUAAGAUCCAGAGCUGAAGCAAAUUGAAGACAUUCUGCACUGGGUACAUGAUUUGUAACCUUUUCAAGAAUCCGUCUCUCUUCCCUUUGAUACAAGCUUUUCCUGCGACUAGUACUGCAACAUCAACAUCAGCCCAGAUCAACCACCAAUCAACAGAUCAGCAUCAUCAACUACUACGAUCAAUCCUUCCAACAAUCAAACAAUCCAACACUCCGGAAAAGUAUCAACCAGCAGUCAGGACAGUCAUGAUAAAACGGCAAAUCUUUCCUUGAACGACACCUGCUGUUGAAGCUGCUGAUUACGACGAUAAUUAGAGUAUGUAGAGUAUAUCAGAGAAUUGAUUUAUUUUAAUCAUCAUUAUUAUAAUCAUUUUGUAUGUGACUAAAUACGUUCAAACUUCCUUAAUGCACUAUAUACUACAAUUACUACAAUUACUUAAAUUUCUUUCAAUUUAUUGAUGAUACAUUAUUAUAUGUUUGUUUUUAUACUUUAGAAUAGCAAUACAGUGUACCCUUCGAUUUUCUUCUACAUUUAUGAUGUUCAUAAUUAGUAGUAUCACAUGGUCGUUGCAAUAACAUAAAUGUUUUCGAGCGAUAUUGUUGUUUUUGUAGUGGAUUGAAGGAAUUUCGUGAUGUGUGACCUUGCAUAAGUAUAUGGAUCAUUAGGAUCGGUGCUAAUCGGCCUACUAAUAUACAGCAUUUUUGUUUAGAGAACAUCUGACUUUACCAUUGUGUGAGGGGCCACCGAUAAGUACAUGCAUGAAUUGAAGGAAUGUGUGAUCUUAAGUCUUAUAAUAACCAUCUUUCGAUAAAUACGGUGGUAUCCAAAUUAAAUAAGGCUAUUUGAUCUGUAGAUUGGUAUUGGAUAAAAUUGGUUUUGCUAGUUAAUUAGCAGUAAGCAAAAACUUACUUUCCUGUCACAUGAUUCGAUGUGCCAAUAUUCCAUUCUCCCUCCGCUCUUCUCAGCCAGAGUUGCAUUACUUUCGAUUCCAACAACUGCCGCAGUCGGAUCGAUGCGUGCAAUAGAAAAUCAUCAGGCAAAAUUAAUUUGGUUUUGGUUUUAUUACUUAAUUUUAAUCUUUUAAUUUUAUGUAGUUUAAAAAAAUUGAAAAAAAACCCUGGCGCUUAGAGUGAAUAACACAACUAAAAUUUUACGUAUUAAUUAGCCUUAUGUUAUUAUAAUCUUACUGUAAUCUUCCGGAUCAAUCAUAAAUUGGGAAAAAUGUAUGAUUCUAGUCAAUACAUAACUUCACUACAUAACUUUCCUAUGCCUAAUUAGUUCUAUACCUUCUAAUGCUAUAAUGUUCAUGGUAUUUCCUUAAAAAUUCAACAAAUAUUGGCAAAUUUAGCAUUUAUUAACGCAUUUAUUUUGAAACAAUUGAUUUUUUUAAAUACGACAAGCAGCGCAGUUUCCCCAGACUGGUGAUGUAUACAGAAUUAUCGGUCUUAUAACACAUUCACACAGCAAGAGAGCUAGUUCUUGCGGUUCAAUUGGGAUUUUCUAUAUAUCAUGCAUAACUUUUUGGCAUUUUAUUGCUUUCUGCUCAACGUGAUCUUUGAAUGGUCAUCUCUUGUUUAUGUUUAACAUCAUUACUUCAUGCAAUCUCCGUGUUGUUAUUUGUGAUAUUUCUAUUCCGUUUUUUUUCUGGCACUUGUGAAACGUGUGCAAAAAUAUAGCCUCAGUUUUCUUGUCAGUAAUUUAAAGCUUCCAUUGCAGUUUAAUUUUAAUAAUUGUAAUUUAAAAAUUUGAAUAAUUUAAAAUCGUACCAAAAAUGCAGUACGUUUCCUUUUUCCAUUAUUUUCCUCAUUCUACCACCAAGUGGAGUUGAUGCGGUGGUGUGUCAUUUCUGUCUCCUUACCUCGUUUGUGCAUGAUAGUUUAUCCGUUCUACAACCAUCGCUUUCGGAAUCAGAAUUGAUCAAUUAAUCUUAAAUGCCAGAUAGAGUCAAAAGCUUUCUCAGCAUCAUGAAGAACUAAGUCGGUUGAUUUUGUAUUAAAUCUGUUGUAUAUGAUAUUGUUCUUUAAUUUAUGGAGUUGGUGUGCAGCAGCAAGAAUGGGAUGAAAACAAAUUGACUAUACAGGUUUAUGUUGUUGUUGGACGUAUGGAGUGUUAAUCGGUUUUCUAAUUUUUUUUUAAUAUUGUACCUAGGCAACUAAAAAGGCUAAUCGGUCUAUAGUUGACUGUGAUCUGUGGUUUGGGUAUCGCGAUAAUUUUAGCUAUUUUCCAUGAAUUUGGAAAGUAGCCAAAUUUAAGGCAUUUAGAAUGGUAUUGAGGUAUAUAAUGGCUUUUGAGGGUAACCUUUUGAAUGUGUAGUUAUUUAUGUAUGCCAAUGUUUUUUUUUAGUUUGAAUCUUUUAAGAAUCUGCGAAAUAUCUUUUGGUUUGAAUAGGUUAUUAUGUA